GAUGAACGCUAGCGGCAGGCUUAAUACAUGCAAGUCGUGGGGAAGCAUGACUGUAGCAAUACAGUUGAUGGCCACCGGCAAACGGGUGCGGAAUACGUACAUAACCUUCCUUUAACUGGGGAAUAGCCCAGCGAAAUUUGGAUAAAUACCCCGUAACAUACUGAAGUGGCAUCACUUUAUUAUUAUAGCUUCGUCGCCUAAUGAUGGGUGUGAGGCUGAUUAGAUAGUUGGCGGGGUAACGGACCACCAAGUCGACGAUCAGUAACUGGUGUGAGAGCACGACCAGUCACACGGGCACUGAGACACGGGCCCGACUCCUACGGGAGGCAGCAGUGGGGAAUAUUGGACAAUGGGGGGAACCCUGAUCCAGCCAUGCCGCGUGUGUGAAGAAGGCCUUAUGGUUGUAAAGCACUUUAAGCGAGGAGGAGGCUCUUUUGGUUAAUACCCAAGAUGAGUGGACGUUACUCGCAGAAUAAGCACCGGCUAACUCUGUGCCAGCCGCCGCCGUAA
RNAcentral lists this ribosomal RNA (510 nucleotides) under uncultured bacterium. Its description in RNAcentral is "partial 16S ribosomal RNA". It matches the Rfam family "Bacterial small subunit ribosomal RNA", at positions 28 to 523 of the family's 1533-position model. The record is from RNAcentral.